RNAcentral lists this ribosomal RNA (765 nucleotides) under Psiloglonium multiseptatum. Its description in RNAcentral is "eukaryotic LSU rRNA". It matches the Rfam family "Eukaryotic large subunit ribosomal RNA", at positions 37 to 825 of the family's 3401-position model. Lineage: Eukaryota; Fungi; Ascomycota; Dothideomycetes; Hysteriales; Hysteriaceae. The record is from RNAcentral.
AGCAUAUCAAUAAGCGGAGGAAAAGAAACCAACAGGGAUUGCCCUAGUAACGGCGAGUGAAGCGGCAACAGCUCAAAUUUGAAAUCUGGCCCACCGGCCCGAGUUGUAAUUUGUAGAGGAUGCUUCGGCGUUGGCCCCGGCCUAAGUUCCUUGGAACAGGACGUCGCAGAGGGUGAGAAUCCCGUACGUGGCCGGUGUCCCUCGCCAUGUGAAGCUCCUUCGACGAGUCGAGUUGUUUGGGAAUGCAGCUCUAAAUGGGAGGUAAAUUUCUUCUAAAGCUAAAUACCGGCCAGAGACCGAUAGCGCACAAGUAGAGUGAUCGAAAGAUGAAAAGCACUUUGGAAAGAGAGUUAAAAAGUACGUGAAAUUGUUGAAAGGGAAGCGCUUGCAACCAGACCUGCCCGCGGUCGCUCAUCCAGGCUCCCGCCUGGUGCACUCUUCCGCGGUCAGGCCAGCAUCGGUUCGGGCGGCCGGACAAAGGCGGCGGGAACGUGGCUCCCCUCGGGGAGUGUUAUAGCCCGCCGCGCAAUGCGGCCAGCCGGGACCGAGGUCCGCGCUUCGGCUAGGAUGCUGGCGUAAUGGUUGUAAGCGGCCCGUCUUGAAACACGGACCAAGGAGUCUAACAUCUGUGCGAGUGUUUGGGUGUCAAGCCCGAGCGCGCAAUGAAAGUGAACGGAGGCGGGAACCCUCGGGUGCACCGUCGACCGAUCCUGAUGUCUUCGGAUGGAUUUGAGUAAGAGCAUAGCUGUUGGGACCCGAAAGAUG